Molecule: ribosomal RNA, 460 nt
Filed under: uncultured bacterium
Lineage: Bacteria
Description: partial 16S ribosomal RNA
Rfam family: Bacterial small subunit ribosomal RNA
Source: RNAcentral
CCUACGGGAGGCAGCAGUGAGGAAUAUUGGUCAAUGGACGAGAGUCUGAACCAGCCAAGUAGCGUGAAGGAUGACUGCCCUAUGGGUUGUAAACUUCUUUUAUAUGGGAAUAAAAUGUUCCAAGUGUGGGAUUUUAUAUGUACCAUAGGAAUAAGGAUCGGCUAACUCCGUGCCAGCAGCCGCGGUAAUAAGGAGGAUCCGAGCGUUAUCCGGAUUUAUUGGGUUUAAAGGGAGCGUAGGUGGAUUGUUAAGUCAGUUGGGAAAGUUUUCGGCUCAACCGUAAAAUUGCAGUUGAAACUGGCAGUCUUGAGUACAGUAGAGGUGGGCGGAAUUCGUGGUGUAGCGGUGAAAUGCUUAGAUAUCACGAAGAACUCCGAUUGCGAAGGCAGUUCACUGGACUGCAACUGACACUGAGGCUCGAAAGUGUGGGUAUCAAACAGGAUUAGAUACCCCUGUAGUC